Anolis carolinensis (green anole) is the source of this 1795-nucleotide long non-coding RNA. RefSeq lists it as uncharacterized. The record is from RefSeq and is a predicted model, not a curated record. NCBI's taxonomy places the organism in Eukaryota, Metazoa, Chordata, Lepidosauria, Squamata, Anolidae. The transcript has 3 exons.
CACGGAUAAUCAAGGUACUUCAUCCAAUGGGCAACGUAAUGGAUACUCAGGAAGGAAUGCUAAGGUCCUUGCUGCCUUACAACAAGUGGACGCUGAUUACCAGGCCGCCAGAUGCAAUGGUCCCAGCUCUUUGACCCCUGGUGUCCCAACAUCUUUCCUUCUCUGGGGGUUCCUUCUCUUCUCUGGUGCCCUCCACUCAAUGGGAAGCCUCUGACAUCUCCCUCAAAAUGGCUGACUGCAAAGGCAGAACUCGCCAGUGGCAUGAAAGAGAGAAAGAGAGAUUUUGACGAAGAGAUUAGAGGAGAUUGCAGCUUUUGCUAAUUUUACCCAGUCCCAGCUUCAUACAAUAAUAAUAAUAAUAAUAAUAAUAAUAAUAAUAAUAAUAAUAAUAACAACAACCCUAACUGGGUGCCGUGCCAAAAGAUCUCAGCCGGCAUUUGGAAACAAUAGACAUUGACAAAAUUACGAUCUGCCAACUGCAAAAGGCCACCCUACUGGGAUCUGCACGCAUCAUCCGAAAAUACAUCACACAGUCCUAGACACUUGGGAAGUGUUCGACUUGUGAUUUUGUGAAACGAAAUCCAGCAUAUCUAUUUUGUUUGCUGUGUUAUAAUAAAAUAAUAAUAAUUUUAUUUCUUACCUGCCUCGAGGUGGGUUACAACAUUGCUAUCCACCUCCUGACUUUGCUAGGUAGAGCUUCAUUACCAUUGAGCUAAUAUUUAGUUACUCUUUUGAUCUAUUGGUUAUAAAGGUACUAGUUCUUGUUGAGGAAUCUAGGCCAGCUAAGCCCAAUAAACUCUUUAUUAGGAAAAUUCCCCAAAAUAUAGCAGAGUGCCUGUCGCACCUCAGAUUAGCUCCACCUUGCUAUACACACCAAACUGCACAUAGGUUGAAGUCUUUUUAGUUUAUUAGAAAAUAGAAGAUAAAAAAGUUCUUUAAAAGCAAAUGUAAAGUUCCAAAAGAACGUUGCAAAAUACAGUCUUAGAGAAUAGUUCCAGAAAUCACAAGAAAUAAACAAAGUCCCAAUAGAACAUGACAAAGUCCCAGGAACAUGAACACAAGAGCUGCAAGAUAAUCCAGGGAAACGAGAGCUUGCUUCUUGGUAGAACGAAAGUUGCUUUGACAAAGGUUUGUCUCCAAACACAUUGCUUUAAUACCCUUUGCAAAGCAUGAAAGCAUUUCUCUGGCCUCUAACCUCCCUCUUGUUAGUGAUUCUCACACUCCUCCGAACCCUGAAUUCCAGACAGUCAGCUCGAUCUAAAGAUUCCGUUUCAUCAAGGCCAGCCUGCUCGUUAGUGUGCUGAGCCUCAUUAUCAGACUGAGAACUGUCCUCCUUUUCCAAGUUCAUUUGCACCUGGCUAGUUUCAGUAUCAUCAACAUCAUUCCCUGCUGUGGGAAAAUGAACUUGCACUCUCUGUUCCUCAUCUUCUACAACAGGGACAUUUUGAACCUGAUUCUGAACUUGAAUCCCAUCAUCCUCAUCAGAGUCAAUCUGAGGUUCCAGCUGAGUCACAACAGUGCCAGAGCAUAUGCUCACUGAAGGGAACAAGGGAAAGGACCUGAUUUAAUUUGAUUAAUAAAUAGCAAUAGUAUGAAAAAUAGGUUUGAUUAAAUAAAUAGUUUCAGUCUUUUUAUGUAGAAGAGAUCAAUAGAAGAGUCUGCCAUGAGAAACAUACAGGAAAAAGGCUCAUAUAAGCAGAGCAAUUGAAAAAACACCACCAAAUAAGACUUGUAAGGAAAGAAGGAUCCAGCAAUAAACAACACAUUGCCUUCCUUAGUUAUGCAAAAGGAAUCA